This is a non-coding RNA of Rattus norvegicus (Norway rat), 556 nucleotides long. Lineage: Eukaryota; Metazoa; Chordata; Mammalia; Rodentia; Muridae. The record is from RefSeq and is a predicted model, not a curated record.
GCAUGCCAAGCGGCAUUCAGGAGCUCUACACAACCGGUGAGCUCAGACUAGAGCCUGAAUCCCCGGGAUGAGCUGCAUUUCAGAGACCCAGCGGAUUUGCACAGCAACCAGGUGACAAGCAACAGAAGCCAAUUUGGAGCACUACAGGAAGAGAGGUCGGAUGGUCGGAUGUCAUGAGCAGGAAUUGAUGGAAGAAUCCAGGCUGGGAGGGGUCACGAGCAUCACAGAAGACCUACAGAGCCAACUAACAUUGGUCCACGGGGGCCCACAGAGACUGAACCAGCUACCAAAGAGCAUGCAUGGACUUAGUCUAGGCUCCCUACACAUAUGUAGCAGAUGUGUAGCUUGGUCGUCAUCCUGGUCCCUAACAAUGGGAACAGGGGCUAACUCUCACUUGGACUCUUGUUGCCUGCCACUGGAUUCCUUUUCCUUAGCUGGGCUGCCUCGUCUGGCCUCAGUGGAAGAGGAUGCACUUGUUCUCAUGAGACUUAAUGUGUCAGGGCAGGUUGGUACCAAGAGGGGGUGGCCUCUCCUCCUCAGAGAAGGGGAGAGGGGA